RNAcentral lists this long non-coding RNA (787 nucleotides) under Linum usitatissimum (flax). RNAcentral describes it as "long non-coding RNA (LUSI_LNC002280)". Lineage: Eukaryota; Viridiplantae; Streptophyta; Magnoliopsida; Malpighiales; Linaceae. The record is from RNAcentral.
UCUUCUUAAGGAUAAUCUGUCCGAAGUUGCCUCAUAGUAUAGAGCUUGCUUCCUUUCCCUCAAAGAAGAUGUUUCGAACUAAGUUUGAUUUACAAGUGCUGUGAAUUUAUACAUGUAAUCUGUGCAGGCUGAGUUGGCCUAGAAGGUGCUGUUGCUGCUGAAGUUUGUGAUUUCUUGUAAGUCUUCUCUGAUUGUGCUGCUUGUGUGUCCCUUGGUGAAAUAUGAAUCUACUUUUGACGUGUUCAUGUCUCUUGUUACCACAAUUUGUUUUAAUUUUGAAAUAUAACUUCAAUAGAAUGCUUUUUAUCUUGUCAGUUUACAGUACUUUGACCGUUUAAAGCACAUCAUAACGUAACCCAAUGCCAGUCCUCUUUAUUACAAUUAAGUAGUAUCUUCAUAUAAGUAGCAAUAUUUCCUUGAAUCCCACACAUGUAAUUUUUGUUUAAAAAAAAUUAUCAUGGAAAAGAAAAGCCUUGACGUUUCAAUAGUCAGCAGCUCAUAUACCACUGCACUAAAGGCUCAGUCUGUAAUAUAUGGGCCACUGUACAAUUUAGUUUUCCACCCGGACAAUCUCUUUGCUAAUGCAGCUGUAGUCUGCUGCAGCAAUCCAACGUGAAACUCUUUAGAAGUAGUUUAAUAAAUUAGAUGUGACGGAGGGAAUAAUAAUUAAAUGUACCCUAGGUUUGUGGUUCCUUGUGUUGGUGUAUCAUCAUGAUUUUCUUCUUGUGGCUGACUAAGCUGGAGAUGUACAGGUUCACGUGAAUCCUCAUGGAUGCUCAGACCAUUG